AUAUGAUAGCUAAGAAGUGGCACAUUAAUGAAGCGCCGCUACAGGGGUCUUUUCUGCUCCUGUCACCGCUUAAAACUAUCAGAUGGUUCGAGGGAGGACAUGGAAGCAGCCACCUAGCUCAGCGGAGACGCGGAGCCCACAGCAGCGCCCUCCGGAGCCCUAAGACGUCGCUGCCACCACCCGCGCCGGGACUCCGCCGCCGAGCUCGGCUGCCCGCAGGACGCUCCAGGAGCGUCGCGGACCGGGCGGCACGGGACGCUGCGGGGCUGAGCUCAAGAGCCCAGGUUCGCGCCGAGUCCAACCGGACCCGGACGCUGCGCGCGGACUGCGCGCCGAGAGAGAAGCGGCGCGCAGUGGCGCCCUCCCGGAUGCGGACGCACAACUUGAAGCAACUUUAAGCAGAGAAUGUGGAUUUAAAUGGGAUAAAGCAACAAAGUCGACUUAGGGCCGGAGAGCCCAUCGGAACCUUCCACUUCCUUUGCAAGCAGAGAUAACUGGCUACAGUCAGCCUUCCCAGGACCUGAUGCUAAUGGAUAACUGCAAGAUCAGAAGGAGAUGGGUCUUGCCAUGUUGUGCAGGCUAGACUCAAACUCCUGGAUUCAAGCAAUCCUCCUGCGGACUCAGAUGAUCCUUCUGCCUCAGCUUCCUGAGUAGCUGGGGUAAAGCUUAUAAAAUAACAUCAUUAUUGCCAAAACCUAAGAUUGGAUGCAUGAUAUUUUUGGACCUUUGCAUUCUGAUUACCAACUGACUCCACCC
RNAcentral lists this small RNA (756 nucleotides) under Pongo abelii (Sumatran orangutan). RNAcentral describes it as "processed transcript". Lineage: Eukaryota; Metazoa; Chordata; Mammalia; Primates; Hominidae. The record is from RNAcentral.